GGGUUGGGAUUCAGUACAAAUAAUAUGCUGUCUAAGUAAUACAUCUAACUAAAGGACAAAAAGACCCUUUGAAGCUUUAUAGGGAUAAAACUUUGAUUGCAUUUUUUAGCUUAGGCCGCUCAAAGAUCUAUAUCUGAGGUGUGCCUUAAUAAAUUUAUUUAUUGGUACUGC
Molecule: ribosomal RNA, 171 nt
Filed under: Symbiodinium sp. clade D
Lineage: Eukaryota; Dinophyceae; Suessiales; Symbiodiniaceae
Description: Durusdinium sp. clade D partial large subunit ribosomal RNA
Source: RNAcentral